RNAcentral lists this ribosomal RNA (497 nucleotides) under uncultured bacterium. RNAcentral describes it as "partial 16S ribosomal RNA". It matches the Rfam family "Bacterial small subunit ribosomal RNA", at positions 28 to 507 of the family's 1533-position model. The record is from RNAcentral.
GAUGAACGCUGGCGGCGUGCCUAAUACAUGCAAGUCGAGCGAACAGACGAGGAGCUUGCUCCUCUGACGUUAGCGGCGGACGGGUGAGUAACACGUGGAUAACCUACCUAUAAGACUGGGAUAACUUCGGGAAACCGGAGCUAAUACCGGAUAAUAUAUUGAACCGCAUGGUUCAAUAGUGAAAGACGGUUUUGCUGUCACAUAUAGAUGGAUCCGCGCCGCAUUAGCUAGUUGGUAAGGGAACGGCUUACCAAGGCAACGAUGCGUAGCCGACCUGAGAGGGUGGUCGGCCACCCUGGAACUGAGACACGGUCCAGACUCCUACGGGAGGCAGCAGUAGGGAAUCUUCCGCAAUGGGCGAAAGCCUGACGGAGCAACGCCGCGUGAGUGAUGAAGGUCUUCGGAUCGUAAAACUCUGUUAUUAGGGAAGAACAAAUGUGUAAGUAACUAUGCACGUCUUGACGGUACCUAAUCAGAAAGCCACGGCUAACUACGUG